This 447-nucleotide ribosomal RNA is filed under the name uncultured bacterium. Its description in RNAcentral is "partial 16S ribosomal RNA". It matches the Rfam family "Bacterial small subunit ribosomal RNA", at positions 329 to 793 of the family's 1533-position model. The record is from RNAcentral.
CACCAGACUCCUACGGGAGGCAGCAGUGGGGAAUAUUGCACAAUGGGGGAAACCCUGAUGCAGCGACGCCGCGUGAGCGAUGAAGUAUUUCGGUAUGUAAAGCUCUAUCAGCAGGGAAGAAAAUGACGGUACCUGACUAAGAAGCCCCGGCUAACUACGUGCCAGCAGCCGCGGUAAUACGUAGGGGGCAAGCGUUAUCCGGAUUUACUGGGUGUAAAGGGAGCGUAGACGGCAAUGCAAGCCAGAUGUGAAAGCCCGGGGCUCAACCCCGGGACUGCAUUUGGAACUGUGUAGCUGGAGUGUCGGAGAGGCAGGCGGAAUUCCUAGUGUAGCGGUGAAAUGCGUAGAUAUUAGGAGGAACACCAGUGGCGAAGGCGGCCUGCUGGACGAUGACUGACGUUGAGGCUCGAAAGCGUGGGGAGCAAACAGGAUUAGAUACCCCGGUAC